AAAUUGAAGAGUUUGAUCAUGGCUCAGAUUGAACGCUGGCGGCAGGCCUAACACAUGCAAGUCGAACGGUAGCACAGAGAGCUUGCUCUCGGGUGACGAGUGGCGGACGGGUGAGUAAUGUCUGGGAAACUGCCCGAUGGAGGGGGAUAACUACUGGAAACGGUAGCUAAUACCGCAUAACGUCGCAAGACCAAAGUGGGGGACCUUCGGGCCUCACACCAUCGGAUGUGCCCAGAUGGGAUUAGCUAGUAGGUGGGGUAACGGCUCACCUAGGCGACGAUCCCUAGCUGGUCUGAGAGGAUGACCAGCCACACUGGAACUGAGACACGGUCCAGACUCCUACGGGAGGCAGCAGUGGGGAAUAUUGCACAAUGGGCGCAAGCCUGAUGCAGCCAUGCCGCGUGUAUGAAGAAGGCCUUCGGGUUGUAAAGUACUUUCAGCGAGGAGGAAGGCGUUGUGGUUAAUAACCACAGCGAUUGACGUUACUCGCAGAAGAAGCACCGGCUAACUCCGUGCCAGCAGCCGCGGUAAUACGGAGGGUGCAAGCGUUAAUCGGAAUUACUGGGCGUAAAGCGCACGCAGGCGGUUUGUUAAGUCAGAUGUGAAAUCCCCGGGCUCAACCUGGGAACUGCAUUUGAAACUGGCAAGCUUGAGUCUCGUAGAGGGGGGUAGAAUUCCAGGUGUAGCGGUGAAAUGCGUAGAGAUCUGGAGGAAUACCGGUGGCGAAGGCGGCCCCCUGGACAAAGACUGACGCUCAGGUGCGAAAGCGUGGGGAGCAAACAGGAUUAGAUACCCUGGUAGUCCACGCCGUAAACGAUGUCUACUUGGAGGUUGUGCCCUUGAGGCGUGGCUUCCGGAGCUAACGCGUUAAGUAGACCGCCUGGGGAGUACGGCCGCAAGGUUAAAACUCAAAUGAAUUGACGGGGGCCCGCACAAGCGGUGGAGCAUGUGGUUUAAUUCGAUGCAACGCGAAGAACCUUACCUGGUCUUGACAUCCACGGAAGUUUUCAGAGAUGAGAAUGUGCCUUCGGGAACCGUGAGACAGGUGCUGCAUGGCUGUCGUCAGCUCGUGUUGUGAAAUGUUGGGUUAAGUCCCGCAACGAGCGCAACCCUUAUCCUUUGUUGCCAGCGGUUAGGCCGGGAACUCAAAGGAGACUGCCAGUGAUAAACUGGAGGAAGGUGGGGAUGACGUCAAGUCAUCAUGGCCCUUACGACCAGGGCUACACACGUGCUACAAUGGCGCAUACAAAGAGAAGCGACCUCGCGAGAGCAAGCGGACCUCAUAAAGUGCGUCGUAGUCCGGAUUGGAGUCUGCAACUCGACUCCAUGAAGUCGGAAUCGCUAGUAAUCGUGGAUCAGAAUGCCACGGUGAAUACGUUCCCGGGCCUUGUACACACCGCCCGUCACACCAUGGGAGUGGGUUGCAAAAGAAGUAGGUAGCUUAACCUUCGGGAGGGCGCUUACCACUUUGUGAUUCAUGACUGGGGUGAAGUCGUAACAAGGUAACCGUAGGGGAACCUGC
RNAcentral lists this ribosomal RNA (1522 nucleotides) under Salmonella enterica. RNAcentral describes it as "bacterial SSU rRNA". It matches the Rfam family "Bacterial small subunit ribosomal RNA". RNAcentral also lists the same sequence under 1 other name. Lineage: Bacteria; Pseudomonadati; Pseudomonadota; Gammaproteobacteria; Enterobacterales; Enterobacteriaceae. The record is from RNAcentral.